This 611-nucleotide long non-coding RNA is filed under the name Phasianus colchicus (ring-necked pheasant). RNAcentral's name for it is "lncRNA (ENSPCLG00000021228.1)". The record is from RNAcentral. Lineage: Eukaryota; Metazoa; Chordata; Aves; Galliformes; Phasianidae.
CAAUAAGGAAAGCUUUCACUACUGAGGUGUGAGGAAAUAUUCUGAAAUACUAUGCAGGUAAAUAAUUUCUCUAUCCUGUGGAGCAUCCUCCAUUUUUGACUUCAGUGACCCCAGCCUCAUAAGGGCAGUUACCUUUGUUUUCGAAGGUCUACAAUAUUCGUGGGAGAUGCUUGAUAGUGUAUGUUCAGGAUUGCAACAAAGGACAGAAGUGACCAUGAUGGGGUUCAUGAAGCCAACUACAGUGAAGGAGAGAAGAAAAAGGACUCUACAGUUCAGAUUGACAUGGGAAUGUGUGCCAAUGAAUCAAACUUGCCAGGAUGUCACAGCCUCCUGAAUUCUACUGCAUUCUCACAUGAGUUCUGACUCUCCAAGGGGAAGAUACACUGGCAUGUACUGCAUUUCCCAGGAUCCUCCACAUGAUUUCCAAUUCUGGAUGAUGGAGCUCUCUGUUUUGUUUACUGGGGGUAAGGGGUGGGGGGGCCUGUCAAUUAAGAUUCAGACGGAUUCUCUCUCUCUCCUCUAGUUUUAUUUUUGGUUCAUUUUGAUUUAUUACUCUUAAUUAUUCUGUAUUAUCUCACAUUCCUUUUAAUAAAUUACUUUCUCCUAUCUCA